This 69-nucleotide transfer RNA is filed under the name Marmota monax (woodchuck). RNAcentral's name for it is "tRNA.Ala". The stretch from base 4 to 64 matches the Rfam family "tRNA", at positions 6 to 65 of the family's 71-position model. From Rfam's summary of the family: Transfer RNA (tRNA) molecules are approximately 80 nucleotides in length. Lineage: Eukaryota; Metazoa; Chordata; Mammalia; Rodentia; Sciuridae. The record is from RNAcentral.
GGCUGUGGCUCAGUGAUAGAGCGCUUGCCUAGCACGUGUGAGGCCCUGGGUUCGAUCCUCAGCACGACA